Molecule: long non-coding RNA, 1389 nt
Organism: Falco peregrinus (peregrine falcon)
Lineage: Eukaryota; Metazoa; Chordata; Aves; Falconiformes; Falconidae
Exons: 2
Source: RefSeq, a predicted model, not a curated record
UGCUGGCCAUCUUUGACCUUCCCCUGCUCUGUGCUAGCUGUGCAGAUGGCAGGAGCUGACCCGGCAGUUCUCCGGUCUGUGUUCCUAGGACUUUGAGUGUGCCAAGGCAGCGGUGGAGAGAAAGCAAACUGUAUCUGCAUGUCCUUAUCUCUCCAGAAAAGCACUAAACCUUACAUGAAAGCCAGGCCAUCCUCCUCGCUAUUUAGCUGUGUUGCAUUUGGCUUUGAGGGCACCUGCAGCUUGCAGGGUACCCAGGAGAAAAUCUUCUGGUAAGGGAAGGCAGAGGCUUCUGGUUCAAAACAUCAUGCAGCCAGCCAGGUUUGGGGCACGGGUUAGAUACAGAUUAUUAAGUGUCUUGAGGAGGAAGGAAAUCUUAAGAAACAAAUUGGCCACUAGCCCUAAGAUGGCCCGGUUUUGCUGCCCUUUUUCCAGGACAUGUGGCAAAACCACAGGCUUGGCUCUGCUAGUCUUACCUAGAGCUGGGUCCAAAGGCAGCCUUCUAUUUUGAGGACGCUUGUUCAAGCUUUUGCAGUGGAAUGUUUUGCAAAGCGCAGUGAGAAGAUGGAGGUCUGUCUUGCAGAGCAGAUUCCAUGCAGUUAGCGCAGUCAUCCUCAUCUAAUUGACGAAUAGCAGCAGCUUAUAAAACAAUAGCAUAUUGCAGCUAGAGGAGUUGCAUUUGAAAAUGCGGUACUUGCCAGAUUCCUGCAUUUGGUACAAGAAAGAUUUUCUGUCCUUUGAACAUAACGUCAUGGUCCGUGGUAACCCAGCAGGAACUACGGUGACUUAUCACCGGACUGUUGAACCUGAAAGGGACUCUUUUCCACCCACCCAUGAAAACAGAUUUAAUUUAUCUGGACCAAGCUGCAUACUUUGCCUUCCAUUGAUAGAAAAUAAAAAUUAGCAGAACUGGCCUUUAAUAUCACCUUGCUUUGGCAGAUUUUCAAGCAAGCAGAAGAGAGUGUUAAGGGCCUCCACUGAGACUCCUCUGACACCAAGCUGUGGAGAGGUCCAUUCCAAGCUGAAGGGCAUCCCACCAUGGGUCAUAAUGCAAGAGUCAAAUUAAAAAAAACCAGCCACUUAAAAGUAAGUGGUUCAAUGGGGACAUUUGGUUUUGGAACUGUGAACUGCAUAAUUUAAAAAAUAACCUUGUACUUUGGAGCCUAGCACUGACAACCAAUGUAUAAUAUCCCACCAGCAGAAUAUGAAAGGAAAAAUUCUGUCUUGGAUGGAAUGUGUGGGAAGUUUAUGCCUCUGAAUUUGCCUCUGAAUCUUGAAUAUUCAUUCCCUCUGACCUUUCUACAUCGUGCAUGUUCCAGAAUCUGGAAUCUGAUUCCACAUCAAUCUAACUUUGAAUAAAAAAAUGGUUUUGAUAGUUUUGUAAAGUAGGAA